RNAcentral lists this ribosomal RNA (480 nucleotides) under uncultured bacterium. RNAcentral's name for it is "partial 16S ribosomal RNA". It matches the Rfam family "Bacterial small subunit ribosomal RNA", at positions 28 to 523 of the family's 1533-position model. The record is from RNAcentral.
GACGAACGCUGGCGGCGUGCCUAACACAUGCAAGUCGAGCGAGUGAAUCUCCUUCGGGAGUGAAACUAGCGGCGGACGGGUGAGUAACACGUGGGCAACCUGCCCCAUAGAGGGGAACAGCCUUUCGAAAGGAAGAUUAAUACCGCAUAAGAUUGUAGCUUCGCAUGAAGUAGCAAUUAAAGGAGUAAUCCGCUAUGAGAUGGGCCCGCGGCGCAUUAGCUAGUUGGUGAGGUAACGGCUCAACAAGGCGACGAUGCGUAGCCGACCUGAGAGGGUGAUCGGCCACAUUGGGACUGAGACACGGCCCAGACUCCUACGGGAGGCAGCAGUGGGGAAUAUUGCACAAUGGGGGAAACCCUGAUGCAGCAACGCCGCGUGAGUGAUGACGGCCUUCGGGUUGUAAAGCUCUGUCUUCAGGGACGAUAAUGACGGAACCUGAGGAGGAAGCCACGGCUAACUACGUGCCAGCCGCCGCCGUAA